This 67-nucleotide ribosomal RNA is filed under the name Parazoanthus swiftii. RNAcentral's name for it is "partial 18S ribosomal RNA". Lineage: Eukaryota; Metazoa; Cnidaria; Anthozoa; Zoantharia; Parazoanthidae. The record is from RNAcentral.
ACACCGCCCGUCGCUACUACCGAUUGAAUGGUUUAGUGAGGCCUUCUGAUUGGCGCCGCCGCCCCGG